GAUGAAGAACGUAGCGAAAUGCGAUAAGUAAUGUGAAUUGCAGAAUUCAGUGAAUCAUCGAAUCUUUGAACGCACAUUGCGCCCCUUGGUAUUCCGGGGGCAUGCCUCUUCCAGCGUCAUUUCACCCCUCAAGCUCUGCUUGGUUUUGGGCCGCGCCGGCAACGGCGGGCCUCGAAAAUAGUGGCGACGCCAUCGUGCUCUCAGCGUAGUAAUUCUUCUCGCUGUUGGGUCCCGGUGGUCGUCCGCCAGCAACCCCCAACUUUCUUAAGUUUGACCUGGGAUGAGGUAGGGAUACCCGCUGAACUUAAGCAUAUCAAUAAGCGGAGGA
RNAcentral lists this unclassified non-coding RNA (328 nucleotides) under soil metagenome. RNAcentral's name for it is "partial contains 5.8S ribosomal RNA, internal transcribed spacer 2, and large subunit ribosomal RNA". The stretch from base 1 to 119 matches the Rfam family "5.8S ribosomal RNA", at positions 35 to 154 of the family's 154-position model. The record is from RNAcentral.